This 291-nucleotide long non-coding RNA is filed under the name Mytilus galloprovincialis (Mediterranean mussel). Lineage: Eukaryota; Metazoa; Mollusca; Bivalvia; Mytilida; Mytilidae. The record is from RNAcentral.
GUCAGUCAUAUUGAUUUAAGGGAAAAUGAAAAAAAUAUGUUUUGCAAUGGUUGUGAAAGUCAAUUUGUGAUUAGAUCUUCAUGAUGAAAAAAAAAAAAAAAGUAAAAAGUUAAGGAAGUUAAACACGUUUGUUUGCCCAUUAAGGAGUAUAUGGUACAGUUAGUGAAAGGCGUUACAACAAAAUAAAAAAUAGUCAUCUGAUAUUGGAGUGUAUAUGAUUUUUUGUUAUAAAGAAACAGACGAAUUUAUAUUUGUGCCGCAAAAAAAUAGUGUUUGCCACAUAAACAAGAC